Molecule: ribosomal RNA, 345 nt
Filed under: Variovorax sp.
Lineage: Bacteria; Pseudomonadati; Pseudomonadota; Betaproteobacteria; Burkholderiales; Comamonadaceae
Description: bacterial SSU rRNA
Rfam family: Bacterial small subunit ribosomal RNA
Source: RNAcentral
CUCUAAUGAGACUGCCGGUGACAAACCGGAGGAAGGUGGGGAUGACGUCAAGUCCUCAUGGCCCUUAUAGGUGGGGCUACACACGUCAUACAAUGGCUGGUACAAAGGGUUGCCAACCCGCGAGGGGGAGCUAAUCCCAUAAAACCAGUCGUAGUCCGGAUCGCAGUCUGCAACUCGACUGCGUGAAGUCGGAAUCGCUAGUAAUCGUGGAUCAGAAUGUCACGGUGAAUACGUUCCCGGGUCUUGUACACACCGCCCGUCACACCAUGGGAGCGGGUUCUGCCAGAAGUAGUUAGCUUAACCGCAAGGAGGGCGAUUACCACGGCAGGGUUCGUGACUGGGGUG